RNAcentral lists this ribosomal RNA (115 nucleotides) under Zingiber officinale. Lineage: Eukaryota; Viridiplantae; Streptophyta; Magnoliopsida; Zingiberales; Zingiberaceae. The record is from RNAcentral.
GCGAUCAUACCAGCACUAAUGCACCGGAUCCCAUCAGAACUCCGAAGUUAAGCGUGCUUGGGCGAGAGCAGUACUAGGAUGGGUGACCCCCUGGGAAGUCCUCGUGUUGCACAUA